UACGUAGGGGGCGAGCGUUGUCCGGAUUCAUUGGGCGUAAAGAGCUCGUAGGCGGCUUGGUAAGUCGGGUGUGAAACCUCCAGGCUCAACCUGGAGACGCCACUCGAUACUGCCAUGGCUAGAGUCCGGUAGGGGCCCACGGAAUUCCUGGUGUAGCGGUGAAAUGCGCAGAUAUCAGGAGGAACACCGGUGGCGAAGGCGGUGGGCUGGGCCGGAACUGACGCUGAGGAGCGAAAGCGUGGGGAGCGAACAGG
Molecule: ribosomal RNA, 254 nt
Filed under: uncultured bacterium
Lineage: Bacteria
Description: partial 16S ribosomal RNA
Rfam family: Bacterial small subunit ribosomal RNA
Source: RNAcentral